Molecule: ribosomal RNA, 459 nt
Filed under: uncultured bacterium
Lineage: Bacteria
Description: partial 16S ribosomal RNA
Rfam family: Bacterial small subunit ribosomal RNA
Source: RNAcentral
CCUACGGGGUGCAGCAGUGAGGAAUAUUGGUCAAUGGACGCAAGUCUGAACCAGCCAUGCCGCGUGCAGGAAGACGGCUCUAUGAGUUGUACACUGCUUUUGUACGCGGGUAAACGCAGAUACGCGUAUCUGUCUGAAAGUAUCGUACGAAUAAGGAUCGGCUAACUCCGUGCCAGCAGCCGCGGUAAUACGGAGGAUUCAAGCGUUAUCCGGAUUUAUUGGGUUUAAGGGGUGCGUAGGCGGUCGGAUAAGUUAGAGGUGAAAUCCCGAGGCUCAACUUCGGAAUUGCCUCUGAUACUGUUCGGCUAGAGAGUAGUUGCGGUAGGCGGAAUGUAUGGUGUAGCGGUGAAAUGCUUAGAGAUCAUACAGAACACCGAUUGCGAAGGCAGCUUACCAAGCUACUUCUGACGUUGAGGCACGAAAGCGUGGGGAGCAAACAGGAUAGAUACCCGUGUAGUC